Doryrhamphus excisus (bluestripe pipefish) is the source of this 748-nucleotide long non-coding RNA. RefSeq lists it as uncharacterized. The record is from RefSeq and is a predicted model, not a curated record. NCBI's taxonomy places the organism in Eukaryota, Metazoa, Chordata, Actinopteri, Syngnathiformes, Syngnathidae.
UUCAAUAGGGACGCCCUCAGAGCUCACACAAUGAAAAUGGCUGGCGGCUCUAUUCACAUACUUAUUAAUAUGCGAGCACGGCCCCUCGUCGCCUGACAGUCGAGGGAGAUGAAAUGCAGCCAGUCAUUUUCUGCGGAAAUCUGUAUACUUACACAUUUGGCGCGGAGAAGAAAUUGCUUUGAUCUUCAACAUACGCCAUGGAUGCAACGAGACUAAAAAGCAGAUACUGCAAAGAACAACAGUUCAGUCCGCUUUUCCAGUUUGCCGUUUCGUUUUGAGUUUACAUAUUUUGGGACCUUUUACAAAGCAAGGAAGAAAACCAACCUGAACUGAACUGCACCGCUUAGUGAAAACAAGGCCUACAGUUGCUGCCAUGAAUUGGACUGGUGAGCAUCGUACUUUCAUUGUGGCAACGUUUAUCAAAACAAACCAAUCUAACUGCAACACAACGAGCGUUCAGUUUGCACUUCAGUCUUGGUAGCCAUGAUCCCGUAGCAGCUCCAAACACCAUCUUGUUAUGGUUACCAACUUCACAGCUACUGGAUCUGCAUUGAAACCAAAAUCAGCCGGCCAACCUCCCACCACCAGAACUGAUUUAAUUUUUGAAACAUAAUGAAACAGAAUGGCAUUAUAUGUACUUUUGGAAAAUAAAAACACUUAUGUUUCUUUACUUUUUUUGCCUUUUAUUUAACCUACAAAUGUGUCAGAUAAUUUUGCCUGGCCCUGGAUAUCUCGAUAUAUUUUGUGC